CAAGGCUUUAAGACCAUGUUUGGUGAAGGGACCAAAGUAACUGUUGAAUCACGUAAACCAUCUUCUCCCCAUUACUACAAGCUGAAGGACAAGGACAAUGUGGUCAGUGCUUGCCUUGCUACGGAUUUCAGCGCGUACAAUGCCACAGAUGCAGUAGAUCUGUUCAACAGAACCAACACCAAUCCCACUAGGAUUGAUAAGGACCCCUUCGACAAGGUGGUCAUUUUGACCAAAGACAUCAACGAGUGCCCUGCAGAUGAUGAGACUGAAACUGACGUGUGUGAUUCUGGAGCAGGUGGAAUUAUUGAAACCGAUGAAAAAAUCAACUUCCUAUCUCUGACAAUCCUGGGGCUAAGAAUCCUAUUUCUGAAAAGCAUCGUCUUUAACGUCCUGAUGACUCUUCGAGCAUGGAUGAGUUAGGAAAAGAGUAUGGAACGACUGACUUUCGUUGUGGAUGGAAUAGCGAGAAAGAUGCGUCAUCGCAAGAAAAUGGAUCAAAUGCAACAAGCUGAAAUUUGCUUUAGCUAUGCAUUGUGCCUUUUGUAUAGAAUGUUGCCUUACGACAUAUUUGACGAAUGUUUUUUCUUUUAACAUACUGAUUUUGCUAGUACAUAAAUGGGUAAAGAAGUGUACACCAAGAUUAUAUUCAUAUUUGUAGUUAAACAGAAAAAAAGAUAGUGCUUUUAAAUAUUCUUAUAUUCUAUAUAUUUUAAUUAUUGUUACAUUUAGUUCCUGUCAAUACUUUACUCAAUCAAUCAAUUUUUCUUUCUCUGUAAUGAUUUCUAUCAUUUUUAUCUUGUGCAAAUGAGCUAUCUUCUCUGGAAUUUUUAUGUAUUAUGUGAAAAGGUGUUUCAAUGAAAUCUACUCACUCUCUGUAAUCAAUAGUGAUGUUAAAUGGGCACACAAAUAUUGUAAAAGCUUAAUAAAUACACUUGCAGUUUA
Non-coding RNA from Anguilla rostrata (American eel), 942 nucleotides. The record is from the annotation of a RefSeq genome assembly. Lineage: Eukaryota; Metazoa; Chordata; Actinopteri; Anguilliformes; Anguillidae.